CCCUGGGUGGUACAAAUGGUUAUUAGUGCAUUUGGCUGCUAACCGAAAGGUUGGCAGUUCGAGUCUGUCCAGAGGUG
Molecule: transfer RNA, 77 nt
Filed under: Loxodonta africana (African savanna elephant)
Lineage: Eukaryota; Metazoa; Chordata; Mammalia; Proboscidea; Elephantidae
Rfam family: tRNA
About the family: Transfer RNA (tRNA) molecules are approximately 80 nucleotides in length. Their secondary structure includes four short double-helical elements and three loops (D, anti-codon, and T loops).
Source: Rfam by way of RNAcentral